CGGCACGUGGCGGAACUGGCAGACGCACCUGCCUCAAAAGCAGGAGACCACCUGGUCGUGCGGGUUCGAAUCCCGCCAUGCCGACCA
RNAcentral lists this transfer RNA (87 nucleotides) under Burkholderia sp. M701. RNAcentral describes it as "tRNA-Leu". It matches the Rfam family "tRNA". Rfam says of the family: Transfer RNA (tRNA) molecules are approximately 80 nucleotides in length. Their secondary structure includes four short double-helical elements and three loops (D, anti-codon, and T loops). Lineage: Bacteria; Pseudomonadati; Pseudomonadota; Betaproteobacteria; Burkholderiales; Burkholderiaceae. The record is from RNAcentral. RNAcentral also lists the same sequence under 1 other name.